GAUGAACGCUGGCGGUAUGCUUAACACAUGCAAGUCGAACGGACUCUUCGGAGUUAGUGGCGGACGGGUGAGUAACGCGUGAGAAUCUGGCUUUGGGUUCGGGACAACCACUGGAAACGGUGGCUAAUACCGGAUGUGCCGAGAGGUAAAAGAGAAAUUGCCUGAAGAUGAGCUCGCGUCUGAUUAGCUAGUUGGUGAGGUAAAGGCUCACCAAGGCAGCGAUCAGUAGCUGGUCUGAGAGGAUGACCAGCCACACUGGGACUGAGACACGGCCCAGACUACUACGGGAGGCAGCAGGGGGGAAUUUUCCGGAAUGGGCGAAAGCCUGACGGAGCAAUACCGCGUGAGGGAAGAAGGCUCUUGGGUUGUAAACCUCUUUUCUUAGGGAAGAACAAAAUGACGGUACCUAAGGAAUCAGCAUCGGCUAACUCCGUG
This 435-nucleotide ribosomal RNA is filed under the name uncultured bacterium. RNAcentral describes it as "partial 16S ribosomal RNA". It matches the Rfam family "Bacterial small subunit ribosomal RNA", at positions 28 to 507 of the family's 1533-position model. The record is from RNAcentral.